This 1209-nucleotide ribosomal RNA is filed under the name metagenome. Its description in RNAcentral is "bacterial SSU rRNA". It matches the Rfam family "Bacterial small subunit ribosomal RNA", at positions 289 to 1520 of the family's 1533-position model. The record is from RNAcentral.
GGUUUGAGAGGAUGAUCAGUCACACUGGAACUGAGACACGGUCCAGACUCCUACGGGAGGCAGCAGUGGGGAAUAUUGCACAAUGGACGAAAGUCUGAUGCAGCAACGCCGCGUGGAGGAUGACACAUUUCGGUGCGUAAACUCCUUUUAUAUAGGAAGAUAAUGACGGUACUAUAUGAAUAAGCACCGGCUAACUCCGUGCCAGCAGCCGCGGUAAUACGGAGGGUGCAAGCGUUACUCGGAAUUACUGGGCGUAAAGAGCGUGUAGGCGGGUAAAUAAGUUGGGAGUGAAACCCUAUGGCUCAACCAUAGAACUGCUUCCAAAACUGUUAACCUAGAAUGUGGGAGAGGUAGAUGGAAUUUCUGGUGUAGGGGUAAAAUCCGUAGAUAUCAGAAGGAAUACCGAUUGCGAAGGCGAUCUACUGGAACACUAUUGACGCUGAGACGCGAAAGCGUGGGGAGCAAACAGGAUUAGAUACCCUGGUAGUCCACGCCCUAAACGAUGUACACUAGUUGUUGUGAGGCUAGACCUUGCAGUAAUGCAGUUAACACAUUAAGUGUACCGCCUGGGGAGUACAGUCGCAAGAUUAAAACUCAAAGGAAUAGACGGGGACCCGCACAAGCGGUGGAGCAUGUGGUUUAAUUCGACAUACGCGAAGAACCUUACCUGGUCUUGACAUAGAAAGAACUUUCCAGAGAUGGAUUGGUGCCUGCUUGCAGGAGCUUUCAUACAGGUGCUGCACGGCUGUCGUCAGCUCGUGUCGUGAGAUGUUGGGUUAAGUCCCGCAACGAGCGCAACCCUCGUCGUUAGUUGCUAACAGUUCGGCUGAGAACUCUAACGAGACUGCCUACGCAAGUAGGAGGAAGGUGAGGACGACGUCAAGUCAUCAUGGCCCUUACGACCAGGGCUACACACGUGCUACAAUGGGGUAUACGAAGAGCAGCGAUACGGUGACGUGGAGCGAAUCUCAAAAAUGCCUCCCAGUUCGGAUAGUAGUCUGCAACUCGACUACUUGAAGUUGGAAUCGCUAGUAAUCGUAGAUCAGCUAUGCUACGGUGAAUACGUUCCCGGGUCUUGUACUCACCGCCCGUCACACCAUGGGAGUUGAAUUCAUUCGAAGCGGGGAUGCUAAAAUAGCUACCUUCCACAGUGGAUUUAGCGACUGGGGUGAAGUCGUAACAAGGUAACCGUAGGAGAACCUGCGGUUG